GCCUAUACAUGCAGUCGACGAGUUCCCGUUGAUUGACGUGCUUGCACUGUUAUUUCAACAUUGGAACGAGUGGCGAACUGGUGAGUAACACGUGGAAAACCUGCCCAGAAGCAGGGGAUAACACUUGGAAACAGGUGCUAAUACCGUAUAACAACAAAAACCGCAUGGUUUUUGUUUGAAAGGUGGCUUCGGCUAUCACUUCUGGAUGGUUCCGCGGCGCAUUAGCUUGUUGGUGGGGUAACGGCUCACCAAGGCGAUGAUGCGUAGCCGACCUGAGAGGGUAAUCGGCCACAUUGGGACUGAGACACGGCCCAGACUCCUACGGGAGGCAGCAGUAGGGAAUCUUCCACAAUGGACGCAAGUCUGAUGGAGCAAUGCCGCGUGAGUGAAGAAGGGUUUCGGCUCGUAAAACUCUGUUGUUGAAGAAGAACGGGUGUCAGAGUAACUGUUGACAUCGUGACGGUAUUCAACCAGAAAGCCACGGCUAACUACGUGCCAGCAGCCGCGGUAAUACGUAGGUGGCAAGCGUUGUCCGGAUUUAUUGGGCGUAAAGCGAGCGCAGGCGGUUUCUUAAGUCUGAUGUGAAAGCCUUCGGCUUAACCGAAGAAGUGCAUCGGAAACUGGGGAACUUGAGUGCAGAAGAGGACAGUGGAACUCCAUGUGUAGCGGUGGAAUGCGUAGAUAUAUGGAAGAACACCAGUGGCGAAGGCGGCUGUCUAGUCUGCAACUGACGCUGAGGCUCGAAAGCAU
RNAcentral lists this ribosomal RNA (750 nucleotides) under Pediococcus acidilactici. Its description in RNAcentral is "bacterial SSU rRNA". It matches the Rfam family "Bacterial small subunit ribosomal RNA", at positions 46 to 762 of the family's 1533-position model. RNAcentral also lists the same sequence under 1 other name. Lineage: Bacteria; Bacillati; Bacillota; Bacilli; Lactobacillales; Lactobacillaceae. The record is from RNAcentral.